RNAcentral lists this ribosomal RNA (502 nucleotides) under uncultured Glomeromycotina. RNAcentral's name for it is "partial small subunit ribosomal RNA". It matches the Rfam family "Eukaryotic small subunit ribosomal RNA", at positions 591 to 1092 of the family's 1831-position model. Lineage: Eukaryota; Fungi; Glomeromycota. The record is from RNAcentral.
CCAAUAGCGUAUAUUAAAGUUGUUGCAGUUAAAAAGCUCGUAGUUGAAUUUCGGGGUUAGUAGGUUGGUCAUGCCUCUGGUAUGUACUGGUCUCACUGAUUCCUCCUUCCUGAUGAACCGUAAUGCCAUUAAUUUGGUGUUGCGGGGAAUUUGGACUGUUACUUUGAAAAAAUUAGAGUGUUUAAAGCAGGCAUUUUGCUUGAAUACAUUAGCAUGGAAUAAUAAAAUAGGACGGCAUGAUUCUAUUUUGUUGGUUUCUAGGAUCACCGUAAUGAUUAAUAGGGAUAGUUGGGGGCAUUAGUAUUCAAUUGUCAGAGGUGAAAUUCUUGGAUUUAUUGAAGACUAACUACUGCGAAAGCAUUUGCCAAGGAUGUUUUCAUUAAUCAAGAACGAAAGUUAGGGGAUCGAAGACGAUCAGAUACCGUAGUAGUCUUAACCAUAAACUAUGCCGACUAGGAAUCAGACGAUGUUAAUUUUUUAAUGACUCGUUUGGCACCUUACG